CUUCAUGGCGGAUCGCGUGGGGAGACCCUCGUGGUCUGCCGGUUCCGUUUCCCGGUCUGUCAACCCUGCGCGAUCCUGCCUCCAUC
Molecule: non-coding RNA, 86 nt
Filed under: Pseudomonas aeruginosa
Lineage: Bacteria; Pseudomonadati; Pseudomonadota; Gammaproteobacteria; Pseudomonadales; Pseudomonadaceae
Also listed under: 2 other names
Source: RNAcentral